RNAcentral lists this unclassified non-coding RNA (155 nucleotides) under uncultured Sordariales. RNAcentral's name for it is "sequence contains ITS1". The record is from RNAcentral. Lineage: Eukaryota; Fungi; Ascomycota; Sordariomycetes; Sordariales.
GAAGAGUUGAAAAACUCCGAAACCCACUGUGAACCUACCUAUGUCGUUGCUUCGGCGGGCGGCCCCAGGGCGGGGCCUUCUAUAUCGCCCGCUGACGGCCCCUAUAAACUCUUGUUUUUUUUAAAAGCACUCUGAGGAACAUUCAAUGAAUUAAA